This 501-nucleotide ribosomal RNA is filed under the name uncultured bacterium. Its description in RNAcentral is "partial 16S ribosomal RNA". It matches the Rfam family "Bacterial small subunit ribosomal RNA", at positions 30 to 523 of the family's 1533-position model. The record is from RNAcentral.
AUUGAACGCUGGCAGCAGGCUUAACACAUGCAAGUCGAGCGGGGGAGGCUACUUCGGUAACUGACCUAGCGGCGGACGGGUGAGUAAUGCUUAGGAAUCUGCCUAUUAGUGGGGGACAACAUUCCGAAAGGAAUGCUAAUACCGCAUACGUCCUACGGGGGAAAGCAGGGGAUCUUCGGACCUUGCGCUAAUAGAUGAGGCUAAGUCGGAUUAGCUAGUUGGUGGGGUAAAGGCCUACCAAGGCGACGAUCUGUAGCGGGUCUGAGAGGAUGAUCCGCCACACUGGGACUGAGACACGGCCCAGACUCCUACGGGAGGCAGCAGUGGGGAAUAUUGGACAAUGGGGGGAACCCUGAUCCAGCCAUGCCGCGUGUGUGAAGUAGGCCUUUUGGUUGUAAAGCACUUUAAGCGAGGAGGAGGCUCCUUUAGUUAAUACCUAAAGAGAGUGGACGUUACUCGCAGAAUAAGCACCGGCUAACUCUGUGCCAGCCGCCGCGGUAA